AUUGAACGCUGGCGGCAUGCCUUACACAUGCAAGUCGAACGGCAGCGGGCCUCGGUGCGGCGAGUGGCGAACGGGUAGAGUAAUGCAUCGGAACGUAGCCAUUGAGGUGGGGAGUAACGUAGCGAAAGUUGCGCUAAUACCGCAUAUUCUGUGAGCAGGAAAGCAGGGGACCGCAAGGCCUUGCGCUCUUUGAGCGGCCGAUGUCAGAUUAGCUAGUUGGUGAGGUAACGGCUUACCAAGGCGACGAUCUGUAGCGGGUCUGAGAGGAUGAUCCGCCACACUGGAACUGAGACACGGUCCAGACUCCUACGGGAGGCAGCAGUGGGGAAUUUUGGACAAUGGGCGCAAGCCUGAUCCAGCCAUGCCGCGUGAGUGAAGAA
This 380-nucleotide ribosomal RNA is filed under the name uncultured bacterium. RNAcentral describes it as "bacterial SSU rRNA". It matches the Rfam family "Bacterial small subunit ribosomal RNA", at positions 30 to 412 of the family's 1533-position model. The record is from RNAcentral.